UAAGUUGGUAGUGAAAGCGUUCGGCUCAACCGAAUAUCCAUUACCAAAACUGCGAAGCUAGAGGAUGAGAGAGGUUAUUGGAAUUCCUAGUGUAGGAGUGAAAUCCGUAGAUAUUAGGAGGAACACCGAUGGCGUAGGCAGAUAACUGGCUCAUUCCUGACACUAAGGCACGAAAGCGUGGGUAGCAAACGGGAUUAGAUACCCCGGUAGUCCACGCCGUAAACGAUGGAUGCUA
Molecule: ribosomal RNA, 235 nt
Filed under: uncultured Candidatus Saccharibacteria bacterium
Lineage: Bacteria; Candidatus Saccharimonadota
Description: partial 16S ribosomal RNA
Rfam family: Bacterial small subunit ribosomal RNA
Source: RNAcentral